GUUUGUUUUCUACAAUUUUAUCUUGGUGUCACUAGAAGACGGUCAAAGGGAUGCAUACCGGAGCUGGGGGUUCGAGUUGAAGUUCCGAAUUGAGGUUUUUUGGCACGCGUAUUUGUAUUCUUGAUUGACUGAUAUUCAGAGUAAAAUUAUCAUUGAGGUCCAUUUCUACUCCUUUUCUCAUUUUAUUUCAUUGUUGAAGGAAUAUGGUGCAUUGGAUGGAAUCUAUGUGUUGUUUGAUCUUGAUUAGUGAUGAAUUGCUACUUUGAUAUUCACUUGUUGCUUAGUUUCAUUGAAAUGGAAAUCGUGAAUUGAGGAAAAUUAGCGUUAAAAGGGAAUUUGGGGUGUGAGAAUUGAAAACUUAAUAUAAUUGGUGAGUUUUGGUUAGUUUGAUUCAUGGGUUGUUUGACUCGAAAUGAACGUUAAUUGAACUUGGCAGUAUCAUGAUACGUCGAUUGGUUUAGGCAAACAUAGGUUGGGUGGCAAACAUAUCGGUAAAAGGUGAAUUUUAUGGUAUUUUGAUUCAUUGUUGAUGGCGAAUAUUGAUAGUAUCAUAUUUUAGACCAAGGAUUGAUAGGAAAAUCGUAGGUUCGGGUAGACAAAUUUAGGGAUGAUGUUUGGUUGAAUGCUUGAAAUCCGUGUUGAAUGGCUUGGUAUGUUCAUUUUUUGGAUCAAAUGUAUCAUUUGGCCGAGGAAUGCCCCGAGCGAUUUGUAUUAAUUUAUUCGAGAAAUGCCCUGAAGUAUUUUAUUGGUGGAAGACAUUCUUGAUGAAGGCCCGAGGCGUCGGGUAAACCACGGGAGCGUAGUUAGGAUUAGUAUAGGUUAGAUAGGAUUUAUUUUUGCAUUUUUUAUUUUGGGACUAUAUAACUCGAACUGGACUUUAUUUUGGUUUUGAACUCUAUUUGAUUUGUUUGUUGCUUACUUUACGUGUUUUUGUGUGAUUUAUACAUCUGUGAUAUCAAAUUAGCCGAUAUGCUCCACCAAGUGACCGUGGUCAAACCACGAGAUCGAGGGGUUCCUAACACCUUCCCCUGGGUUAACAAAAUUUCUUAGCCGGAGUCUCUGUUCGCAAACCAGUUGAAAGAGUCAAAUUGUUUUGAAAAGGAUCUUUUAAAGGUGACUUGACACACCGGAUUAUGUCAAGUGGUGACUCUGAAUAAAAAAUGUAAAUAAUCCUUUUUCGAAAUAAAUUUUUAAUCUUUUGUCACUUUGAUAAUAAAAACCCUUUCAAGCAUUAAAAUCAAAUCUGUUUUUGGAGUUGAAGAAAGGGGUGUGAUAGAGGGCACCUAACCAUAGUCCCAAUUUGGGAUGACAAGAAUCAAGGAUCACAAGAUCACAAAGCAUGGUACCAUAAUCCCGUGUCGGCAAAUCACAGUUUCUAUCAUAAAGUCUUUCAACUCGUACUUUCUUCGGGUAACCAUCUAACUCUCUUAAAUUAAACUCUAACUCUAUCAUGGCAUACAUUUAUAUGGUAUCGCCAUACCAAUGACUUACAAAUCACAGUACCACAUCAAUUCUCCAACUUUUCAUGCCAUUUACAGCAUGCACAUAUAUAAAACUUUCACACACAUCAAACACAUGAACCAUGGUUAUCAACAUGUAAUAGUUUCAAGAAACUCUAUCAUUUAUGAGUAAAAUCAUGUCAAUUGCAAAAUCUCAUGCUCUCAAUGGUUUAACAUAAGUACAGUGUGGGAUAUAAAACAUUAUCAUGGGGGAUUUAAAGAAUUCACAAUUCAUAUACACCACACCUUUUCAAAAUUCAGAUCACAUAUUCACAAUUCAACAAUUGAAAUAUAUGCAAGCCAACAACCCCAUAAUGUAUGAUGUGCAUAUCAUUAUGAUGUUCAGGGUCACAUUAUUGGAGAUUAUCGUGCUUCAAAAAGAGAAAUUGAAAAGAUGACUCAAGAUAAAUCAAUUAUGAUGCAGAACAAGGAAAGCUCUAGUCAUGCUGAUAUGCAAACCAGUGGCUAAGAUGUCAGGCUGAGCAAUUGAGAAGUCACCCCUCCCUACUAGGAAGAGGUCUGGUAGUUUUUUUUUGUUUUAUUUUUUGUUAUCCGAAUUAUUUCAGGGUUGUAGUUUGGGAUCUAUCUUGUUUUGUCCCUUUGUCGUUAUGUUCAAACUCUUUUAUCUUUUGUUUCAACUAAAUGAAGUGUCCCAUUUUCCUUUGUGUUUUAAAUAUGUCUUGUUUGUUUGUUGUCUUUACAUAAUACAUUUUAUGUUGACUCUAGUGAUAAGACAUGCUAGUGAAAUUUUCAGCCAGAUCUUAAAAUCCAGUUUAAGAAUGAGCAUUGAAUCAGAGGGUUAAAUUUAGAAAAAGAGAGCAUCUGAGAAAAUAGAUAGUGUCUUGGGGAAUUUAGUGAUCAAGUUGAAGCCUUUUUUGAAAAUUAAGGCAAUUAUUUUUAGAAUAGUGAGAAUAACUUGGUCAACAUUUGAAAGACAUAUCUCAAUUAGGUCAAAUAGUGGAUGCGUGAUCCUACAUUAAAAGGAAUAGAAAAAUUAACUCCACGAAAGCAUAAGGAAUGUACAACAAAGAUGGAGUUUGCAGAAAAAGUAGUGACGCAUAGUCUCACUUAAAAUUAGUGUUGUAAAAAAUAUCACAAAUGAUCUUCAUCUCUCACUUUCACAUUACAUGAUAUGUACUAGCAUUUUCAAGGAUUGAUAUGAUGAAGGCAAUUCAUUCUGCUAUUCAAACAUCGUGUCAUCCUUUGUUUACCUCAUUUGAGCUUUAGUCUUAUUUUCUUUCAUACCCCUCUUUUGGAAUCAAGAUAGAGUUAGCAAAGCUCAAAAGAAAGGUGUCGAGCGAAAAAAUAGAGUCAAAAGGUAUAAAAAAAAAGAAAAAAUGUGUUCAAAAAUAAAAAAAGAGUGUCAAACAAAAUAGAGUCAGAAAAAUCCCAAAAAGAGAGUUGAUGGCGAAUAUUGAUAGUAUCAUAUUUUAGACCAAGGAUUGAUAGGAAAAUCGUAGGUUCGGGUAGACAAAUUUAGGGAUGAUGUUUGGUUGAAUGCUUGAAAUCCGUGUUGAAUGGCUUGGUAUGUUCAUUUUUUGGAUCAAAUGUAUCAUUUGGCCGAGGAAUGCCCCGAGCGAUUUGUAUUAAUUUAUUUGAGAAAUGCCCUAAAGUAUUUUAUUGGUGGAAGACAUUCUUGAUGAAGGCCUGAGGCGUCGGGUAAACCACGGGAGCGUAGUUAGGAUUAGUAUAGGUUAGAUAGGAUUUAUUUUUGCAUUUUUUAUUUUGGGACUAUAUAACUCGAACUGGACUUUAUUUUGGUUUUGAACUCUAUUUGAUUUGUUUGUUGCUUUCUUUACGUGUUUUUGUGUGAUUUAUACAUCUGUGAUAUCAAAUUAGCCGAUAUGCUCCACCAAGUGACCGUGGUCAAACCACGAGAUCGAGGGGUUCCUAACACCUUCCCCUGGGUUAACAAAAUUUCUUAGCCGGAGUCUCUGUUCGCAAACCAGUUGAAAGAGUCAAAUUGUUUUGAAAAGGAUCUUUUAAAGGUGACUUGGCACACCGGAUUAUGUCAAGUGGUGACUCUGAAUAAAAAAUGUAAAUAAUCCUUUUUCGAAAUAAAUUUUUAAUCUUUUGUCACUUUGAUAAUAAAAACCCUUUUGACCCUUAAAAUGAUAAUCUUUUUUUUGUUGUUGAAAAAGGGGGUGUGACACAAAUAAUUAAAAUCCCUCUUUUGUGAUAACCUUAUGUUUAUGUUCUUAUGGUGAUUGAUUGAAAUGCAUGAUUUAUAGCUUGAAAAUAGUUUACUCAAAUACCAUAGUAUUUUGAGCACGAUAUAGAGAUUUAAGAGAGGGAGUUUUUUGAUGUAAAUAUAUUUUGUUAAAAGAGAAAGAUUUGCAUGAGAUUAAGAGCUUUGACAUGACCACCUUUCAUCAUUGAAAGUUUGACAAAGAGAGUUGCACACAUGUGUUUACAUGAGUUUUAGAGAAAAAGUUCUUUGAAAUGAUUUAUUGAUAUGGUGGUCCCGAAUUUAUGUUUUGAAAACAGAGAUUGAAAUAUGCUAAAAAUGGCUCAGAGAUGUAAUUUGCAAGUCAAUGGUAUGACGAUACUAUAUAAAUUUAUGCCAUAACAGAGUUAGAGUUUUCAGAGAAUGGAUGUCUUCAAGAGUUAAAAAUGGGCAUAAAGAGAGUUAGGUGGUUGCCUGAAGAGUGCUCGAGUUCAAGUAACUCUUAGCCUAAAAUCGUGAUUUGUCGAUCCGAGUAUCUUAGUUUUAUGCUGGCGACGGCCUUGUGGAGUAGAAGAGUCAAAGACUCCAACUCUUGUGGCACACUUGGGUUGGAGGCUUCCCCGCUGAGUCAAUGGCAGAGUCCAUAUAGCCCAUGGAAUUUCAGUGUUGUAGGGUAUACCACCUAGCGCAGAAGUAAAACAAAGAGUGUUGCAGAGUUCAGAUGAUUUUACAAAGUCUUUCAAAAAUGCCCAUGAGAUUUCUUACUAUAUGAUAUGUUUAUGAACUGUCUUAAAAUUGCUCUCAUAUAUGUUGAAUAUAAAUUAUUAUUUUGGAUUUGCUCUGCGUACUAGUACAUCUGUAUUGACCCCCUACCUCCCAGGUUUGGAGGCUCAGUCUGAGGGUCCGGCUAAUCAGUAGAGUAUUCCAGAGAAAAGUGAUCCAUGCAGUGGUGAGCCUUCUUUGUUCCAGAAGGCCUGUUAUUUCGGAUUAUGUUAUUCCAGUGUUUGGUCUACUGGGGGCCUUGUCCCAGUUUUCAAAAUAGUUUUGAGAUGUAUUAGAGAUUUCGUAGACUAAAUCAGAUCUUAUCCAGAAGUUUUGAAAUUAGGCAAGGACUUGUGAAGAUUCUGUUAGUGCCUCAGAGUGUAUUGAUUCUAGUGUGAAUUUUGAUUCUGAUGAAAUCAUGCUUUUGAGCCUGCGGUAUUAAGUGCAUUCAGGCCCUUUCAAAAUUUUGUUAUGUUGCAGAUGUCAUGAUUAAGAGGGAAUGAGGUGUAGAAGAAUGUUGGAACUAUAUUUCCACCCGAGUAAUAGUACAAGUUAUAGUGUCGGUGUUAUGACCUAUUGCUAGUGAGAUUAGACCAAGAAGUUGGUGAUACGAAGUCACAAGGUUAGAAUUCAGAGUGAGGAUGACUUUUGUGUAGAUAAAUGUGUUUAGUUGAAUAACUGAUGUUUGAGGAUUAUUUACCCCUCUAUAGUGAUAGACUAAUGUGGUAGCUAGUAGCUUGUGUGGAUUGUAUGGUAGUCUGUAGGAUUCUUUCGAUUCACUAGCGUAGUUGCCUUGUCAUUCCUCUCAUUUUCUUGUUCAAAACACAAAAUCAAUGUAUAGUUGAGCCGUGUGGUGUCUGUUUCGAUUCACUAGCAACUUGUUGUCCAUCUUGCUGAUUCUUGUGUUGGUUGGAACUGAGGGUUUAGAGGCGUAAUGACAAGAAAAAUAGUAAGGCCGAUUUAUUGAAUGUAUGUAUAGCUAAACCUUUUUGCAUGAGAUUGAGUUAGUAUUAAAGUGAUACGUCCUUAUUGUUAGUUUAGUAGAAGGUAGAGAAGGAGUUAUUAGCUACGGUGAGUUGUUCUUUGCUCGAAGUAUGAAAAUGGCUAGAUUAGCCAGUAAGUUAUAAUUAUAGACACAAGGUUGUUUAUUGAAUUUGAAGGUAGUCUGAAUGUACGCUUGGGUAAAUAAGUGUGAUGUGAGAAAGCCUUAUAAGUAGAUAAGAUUGUAUGGGGUUAUAAUAUAAGAUUAAGGUUGACCAUGUCUAUUAUGUGACUCUACCCCACUUGACCUUCUUUUCUUUGGUAGUUGUAAACUAGUACUACUUGUGAGAAGGUAUGUAGUAGAUUUUGAGGCAUAGCAGUGAUGUCAUAAAAGUGUUUUGGUUGUGGGUCAUAUCUAAAUAAAAUGAAAUAUUUCGGUAGAAUAUCCCAAUUUGAUGGACUAGUAUAUUAUCUUGCAUUCUUCAUUGGAGGUAGAUGAUUGAUUCUAGACUAUAGGCUUGAUGUAUUGAAAUAGUGCGUGUUAAUGAAUUAUAAUAAGAAAAUCGUAAGGUCAUGAUCGAUUAUUGUGGCUAUAGAGUUCUAGUGUACUAUUGUUUCUCGAUGUUUUAUUUCGUAGUUUUCAAGUGAAAAUUGUGUGUAAGGUUGGGUUAUAAAUCAUGUUUAGCCCUAGACAUUAAGUUUGAACAGUUGAUGGCUAUGAAGGUGGAGGUGAUUAUUUCUUGGUUAAUGAGACUAGUUUUAUGGAAGCGAUCUAAUAGGCUUGAACAGUGCAUGCAAGAGCUUAAGUUUAUUUGAUUCAUAGUGAAGUAUGAUGUUGUAUGUAUGAAGUAGAAGUAUGCCAAGGUGAUAUGAGGUUGCGGUAUUUUUCUAAGGCUAUUACAUGUUGUAAGUGGCUAGUGUUACCGUUGAGUUGCUAGGUCGAGAAACACUAGUUAGAUGGUAUAUGGUGUUCUAAUAGCCAAGUUAAGGAGUUUUGAUAGAUAAUGUUAAGCCUUUUGAUAUGAUCUUGAUUCUCAUAGUAGAGAGAUAUAAGUUUGGAGUCGUGAUGCUGGUAGACUAUGACAGAAGUGGUAUGGUCCGUCAAAGAUUAGGAGAUAUCCAUGUUUAGUGUUAGAAGAAUCUGAGUUGGUGAAUGUUUAAGAUGUUAUAUGAUGACUUUUGGGGAUAUAGAAACCUAAGGGUUGAAUCUUAGAAGGAGGUAUUAACAGUGGUUGUUAUACAUGAAGAUACUGUCUUACAGGGUAAGUUUAGUUUUAUGUGUAUAGUUAUAUCCCCGACUCUAGAGUAAAGUGAUUUCAGUUUAUACCAGAGUGUAUAUAGUGGUCCACAGACUUAGAGUAACGGCUUAAAUCUAAGGGCGAGAUGAUAGAACGAGUAACCAAGUCAAGUUUUCAGAUGCUAAUAGAUGUGCUAUUAAGUUGUGGAAUUGGCUGUGAGAAAGAAUGAUACUCAAUCUAUUCUUAUUUCAGCAGUUUUGCCUCAGUUAUUCUGACACAUACUCAUGCUUUAUAUUUCAGCCUCAUGAUCAUAGCUCGUGUGAUACUUUUAACGAUCAGUGAAAAUUCAGAUUUAUAUAGGUACGUCCUUAGAUUAGAUCUCUUUAAUAAGUCCAUGCCAUGAGUGCUCUAUUCCUCACGCCUCAGUAGGGUAUCAAGUUUGCUUAGUACUCCCUUAUGUUUCGGGUCUCGAUAUUCCAAUUUGCAGUGACAUUUUCCCUUAGGCCGAGAUAGUGAUAAUGAAUAGUUGUUUAGAUGGGAAAGAGGAAACAUUUCUUGUUGAUGAAAGAUGGUUGUAUGCUUAUUUGAGUUAAGGUGGUAAUUAUAGAGUAAGAUUGACGUUGAGUCUUUGAUACGUGUCAAGGUUAGUUGAAGUUUUAUGUGUUAUAUUUUGGAAAAAUUGUUGUGCACUUGUUUUAUAUAAGUCUAUAAGUUGAAAGAAUUUUGAGGUGAAGUUUCGUGUAUGGCUUGGUUAGUUGAGGAUAUUUUAUGUGUAUCAUUUGAAUAGUGCAGGAAAGUUGUUGUGGAUAGAAGUAUUAGAGAAUAUGAGAAAUAUCCUUUAUGAGUGGUUGUUCAGAAGUGCAUAUGUGGGUAUGAAGAUAGGCUUAAAUGUCAUGUUUGUGUGCAUAUGGAUGGAUGCCUUGAGUGUUUGUGAAUGUCUAAUACGAAGUUGAAGGUGAUUGUUGGAGUGGCAAUAAGAAUUAUGCAGGAGAUGAGGAAGUGUGAAAUGCAGGGUAUGCUAAAUUCAUGAUUCAGACUAGUACUACAGUAUUAUAUGGUGUGUUUUGUGAUUUUGAGUUAGGCUUGAAGAUGAUAAGGGGAUUUAGUUCAGUUUAGACAUUAGUAGAUGGAAAUAUCAGCGGCCAUGUGAGAAAAAUAAGUGGAAUCAAUGAGCAUGGUAUUUAAAGGGAAAGUAUAGUUGAAAGAGUAUUUUAGAAGUGUGGCUAAUCUUGAAAGUAAGAAGUUUCAAUGCCUAAGGUUUGGUAAUUCUAUCCUAGUUUACGAGUUAUAUGUCUAUAUUCCAUGCUAUAGAGUAGUGUCAUUGUUGUGAUUCCUUAGUUGGAUGUCUUGUGUAACUCACGUCAGAGAUUUUUUGUUCCCUAAUGGUACUAGAACUUCUUUAGAAAGAGUAUUGAAGAGAUACUCCAGUUAAGUAUAAGUGUCCAGUAUAAUUCAGUUUAACAGUCAGGCAGACAAGUUACUAUGGUUUUCCACCUUUUCACCCAGUCUUACUAUCUGAAGUCCAAUGCGUAUGACCAUCCCAAAAGAUAAUUUAUUCCAUCCGUGUAAGUUGCGAACUUAGUUCAGUCCAAGCAUCAUGUUUCAGAUUCAGUUAUUUAGUCAUGACUCAGUUAAUAAGAGUUCAGCACAUAAUCUGAAAUUUUUCCAACUAUUUUAGCUCAGACAGUGUAAUACGAUCUAAAUCUUAUUGACUCAUGAUUCGUACUUACCUAAGUUAUCACUUCCAAAUCCAAUGUGUGUGAUUUGAGCAUAAACACUUUGGGGGAAAUCUUAAACUCUUAGCAUGAAUCAGCUCCUUAAAACAAGGGUAAGUCAGCUUAGAAUUCAGUUUUAUGAUAGAAGUUUAAAUGUUUCGGAUCAGUUAUAUCCUUUCUUAGAAGAAACAUCAGAUCCGCGUUAUUCCAUACCUUUAAGCUUCAACUUUCCUACCCAUCAUUCUGGGAGAAUGAUCCCAAGGGGGAGAUAAUGUAACACCCUGCAUUUUGGGCUAGAAUAAAAAUCGUCAUUUCUAUGCUUAGAUGAUCUAAAAUCCAUAAAUCCUAUGAAAAUUUUCCAUGAUAAUCAAUUAUGUUGUGUGGAAAAUUGAAUGAGCUUUCCGUCGAUAUAAGAUUCGCCUAAAUUCGGUACCCGGGCAAGAUGUUAUGGCUAAUUUAAGUCCUAGUCGUAAAACACCAUCAUUUUAGUGCUUGAAGCAUCGCGAAGGUGGUCUAUUUAAAAAGUGUCAAAUUCCAGUAGACUAGCUUGAUUAUGGCGCGUCAUGCUGAAGUUCCAGGUCCCAAACAGUGGGACAACGCGAUGGCUCCGCGUCGUGGUGACCCCAAGAAUCUCAUUCGUCAAUUUUCAGUUAUAUUUUAUUUCAUGUCAUUAAGGCUACGUUGGGUAAUUUUCACCCCCAUUAUCAGCUUAAACAUGAGAUUUUUCCCCCAAGUGACCACAUUGUUCAUAUUUUCUUCAAAAAUUCAUAAGGACACUCUCUAGGGUUUCAAACUAAAAACCCAAAUAACUAAAGAUUCAACCGUGGGUUUUUGAAACUGAUUAAAGAUUUGGAAUCCCCAAACCAUAGGCUUCAAGAAUCAUCCAUCAAAUUUCUAAAUUGAGGUACGUGGGGUUUAUCCUAAAACUACAUGGGCUUGUUGAAAACACCCAAUUAUGAUUCAAAAAUCAUCAAGCAUGAAUUUGUUAAAGGUGUUUUGAGAUCCAUGACCUUAUUAUGCUUUAUGCAUGUUUAAUGAUAUUGAUGUUUUGGCCUUUAGGUCUUAUCCCCUUAAAUUGAUUUACACAUAUAAGUAUAUGUAUGAAACUUGAAAUUGAAGAUUUGUUUGAGAGCACAAAUAAUGAAAAUCCCUCUCUUGUGAUCACCUUAUGUUUAUGAUCUUAUGGUGAUUGAUUGAAAUGCAUGAUUUAUGGCUUGAAAAUAGUUUACUCAAAUACCAUAGUAUUUUGAGCACGAUUUAGAGAUUUAAGAGAGGGAGUUUCUUGAUGUAAAUAUAUUUUGUUAAAAGAGAAAGAUUUGCAUGAGAUUAAGAGUUUUUACAUGACCACCUUGCAUCAUUGAAAGUUUGACAAAGAGAGUUGCAUACAUGUGUUUUCAUGAGUUUUAGAGAAAGAGUUCUUUGAAAUGAUUUAUUGAUAUGGUGGUCCCGAAUUUAUAUUUUGAAAACAGAGAUUGAAAUAUGCUAAAAAUGGCUCAGAGAUGUGAUUUGCAAGUCAAUGGUAUGACAAUACCAUAAAUGUAUGCCAUAACAGAGUUAGAGUUUUCAGAGUAUGUUUUCAGAGAAUGCAUGUAUUAAAGAGUUAAAAAUGGGCAUAAAGAGAGUUAUGUGGUUUCCUGAAGAGGGCUAGAGUUCAAGUAACUCUUAGCCUAAAAUCGUGAUUUACCGAUCCGGGUAUAUUAUUUUUACGCUGGCGAUGGUCGUGUGGCGUAGCAGAUUCAGUGACUCCAACCCUAGUGACACACUUGGGUUGGAGGCUUCUCCACUGAGUCAAUGGCAGAUUCCAUAUAGCCCGUGGAAUUUCAGAGUUGUAGGGUAUACCACCUAGUGCAGAAGUAAAACAAAGAGUGUCACAGAGUUCAGAUGAUUUUACAAGGUUUUUCGAAAAUGCCCAUGAGAUUUCUUACUAUAUGAUAUGUUUAUGAACUGUCUUAAAAUUGCUCUCAUAUAUGUUGAAUAUAAAUUAUUAUUUUGGAUUCUCUCUGCGUACCAGUACAUCCGUAUUGACCCUCUACUUCCCAGGUCUGAGGGUUCAGCUAAUCAGUAGAGUAUUCUAGAGAGAAGUGAUCUAUGCAAUGGUGAGCCUUCUUUGUUCCAGAAGGUCUGUUAUUUCAGAUUAUGUUAUUCCAUUGUUUGGUCUACUAUGAUAAGAGAAUGACCACGGUAACACUAAACUAACACCAAAACAGUCCACUAGUUUGAAGAACCGAGGACUCCUUUGGUGACCACUCUCGGAUUCACUACAAAAUAACGAAAACACAAUAACAACAAGAUACUGAAGGUUUAAAUACACCAAAAUAGCAACAAUAUGGCAAUAUGGACUAUAAUAACAAGAUAGGAACAACACAUGGUUUUACUAACACUAGAUAGAAAUGGUUACAAGAACACAAACUACUACAAGAUUACAAUAAAAGUAAAGGGAUAGUUAGAUAGACUUAAUGAAGGUAAAAUCUUAAGGACCCAAGAGCAUAUUCCACUCUUGGACCCUUAACACUACACACAACGUUCACCUAUCUCUUACAAAGACACAAGGUCGUAAUCUACCUCCCAAGCAUCAGUUUCAAAGCCAUGGAAUCAACAAGAGUGAGUCCACAGUUUAUAUGCCUAAUUUCGGUUUUGGUGCCUUAAGGAGAGAGGAAUUGUGUUUCUUUGUGUUUCAAGACUUACAAAAUCAUUAAUAAUCUAAGUCUAAAAUCCCUACAAUGUUUUACUUAUAAUAGGUUACAAAUAAAAUACAAAAUAUCCAAAAUGCCCUUUUAAGAACUAGGCUCCCUUCAAGUGCAUUUAGGGGCUGCCUUGUUGUGUUCCAAGGCUCCUCUUUACACUCCAAGUGUGAGAUUAGGGUUGUUUUGAUGUGUUUUAAGUCCUUCACUCACACACUCCAAGCCUCGGGUUCAUUACAUUCUCACAUGCAUCCAUCUUCGUGGUCGUACUUGUAUCAUCCUCCCCUCAUUUAAAAGGAUUCAACCUCGAAUCCAUGCCUUGCAAAAUCAAAGAGAGACAAACAAGCAUUAGAAAAAACAAACAAUAACGGUAUGCGCUCAUAACACUCAAAAAAUCCCACACCAAAAAAAAAUCGAGGACCCUUUGAGUUCAAGUCUCGGGCAACAACAAGUCUUGACAUUCUAAGGUGGUUCAUAUUUGACAUAUAACCAAGAGUCCUUACAGUUAAACAUUAUGAAUCCAUCGAAAAAUUCACCAAGGACAUGGAUAUGAUAACCACCCAAAAGAAACGCACUUAAGCCAAGAGUAGAUCUUUCCCACCCUAAGAUGGCACCGGGAUCAAAUGGGAAGAGUGACCAUAGACACGGGUCUAAAGAACACACCCAUUUCCCAUAGUCUUUACCAUAACCACAUGGCCUACUCUCAUUGGCAUACAUAUCAUCACAAGUAAAGAGAUAUUAGAGAAAGGUGGCACUCAAUUCUACUUCUACUAUGGUGUCUAUGUAAAAUCCACACAAAGUAGAAGAAGCAAUUUCCAAGACCAGACAUUCCUUACCCUUAAGAGUACUCUCAUCUUCCAAGAAGAGAUUUUCAUCUUUAGGAGUAAUUUUGUCACACCAUAGUAGGUUAGCAUAUAGGCUAUAGCUUCCAAGGCAAGCUAUACCAUCAUUUUCACCACUAGGUCUAUUAGGAGUGUUUAAACUAUCUUCAAAUAAGACAUUGUACCUAAAGAGUGAAUGAUCUAGCCCGUGGAUAGAUUUGGAAAUUUCACUCUCUAAGGAAUCAUUAUCAUGUUUCAAAGAUAUGCAAAGUACACAAUUAACCCUAUGAGCCAAGCAAACAUUAGAAUCUUUACAACAACAUAGGCUCACGGGUUCACUCCUUUUUCCUUGACCAACAUUUUCAAAUUCUUCUCUAACUUGAGACUCAUUAAUGACAUCACACAUAUUCUCAAGUGGUAGGAAAGUUUUACACACAAGUUGGUCAACACAAUUUUUGUAUGACGAUGUACUUUCAUUCAACACAAUAGCUUCAACACUAGGUGGACAUAAAUCGAUCUUACUAGAAGAGCCGAUUUGGUCAUCUAUCGGAUCAACUAGUGUAUCCACUCGCACAACAUGUACAUCAUCUAAAAAUGGUAAGGAAUCAAUAUACUCAUACGUAGGUAAUCUGCUACUCACACUCAAUGGCUUAUUAGUCACAUGUUCAUCAUCCACAUGUACCAAAGUGUAAGAGAUAUCUAUUUUACCUUGACGUUCAUGAGUAUGUUUGUCUUUACCUUGGUGUGAAAGUCCUUUACAAGUUUGGGCAGCAAAUUCCUUCGAGAAGAUCUCACCAUAAGGUGUUUGGACCUUAGGUUUUGGAUUUGUUGGGAUAAGUGUGGAUACCAAUUGGCGUAGCCUUUCAACGUGCCAUUUCAUGUCUUCAAUAUUGUUAGUGAUGCGGUCAAAUAUGGCAGCAAUGGUACUGAAAAUAAAAUACAACAAUGAACAACAAAACAAACAAACUUGUUAGCUCAAAAAUGCCUCACCACACUCUCACUCUCGAUUUUUACCUCACACUUGGUUUCACAAGUGUUGAAAGCCGAAUUGUACUUCGUGAGUGAUUGAGGAAGGAGUCCACCUUGGUCCGGAAUAGAUUUUCAUUUGAGUUGACUCAAACAAAAUUUACUUACGAACUUGAACCAACAAGAUACAACGAAUUCACAAAAGAGAGAAAAGCACAAAAGAAACGUAGACAUGAACAACGGAUUCAAGAACUAAGUGACAACCUAGUAGAAGUUUACUAGCUUGUUAAUUAGUGCUAUGAUCAAUUAAACGAAGCUAAGAGACAACAAAAUGAAACUAAUAAAUGUAAAAUUUUGAGCUCGAAAAUAUUGCGUAAACAGUAGCAGCGAUGAUGUGACAGCCACGUAUUGGUUUUGUUUUAUCAAAUGGUUAUUCUCAAAUGUUCAAGUCUUGGUCAAAAAUUAAUUUGGAUUGGUGGAAUUUGUUUUAAGAGAGAAAAUAAGUCUUGGAUCCUUUUUCAAUUUUCAAGACUUGACCUUUUCUUGUACUUCUCCUUAAAACAUGGGUCCUUAAAUCAUGGAAAAGUGGUUGAGAAGUGAAAUAAAGUCUUUUGGUGGUUGGGGGUCUUUCAAGACUAACAAGUACAUACACUUUUUUCCUUCACAUUUUAGGAUCUAGCAUUCACUUUGUGUUCUAAAAAUAUAUGAAGUAAGGUGAAGAACUUCAAUAACAACAACAACCACACCAAGACCAAUAACAACAAUCUUCAAGAACAACAACAAUUCCAACAUCCAACUCCAAUCCACAAUAACAAAUGACCAAGUCUCUUUAUUAUUGUGUCUUCGGUUUUAACAAGAGAUGAAGGUUGUGAAGAACUUCAAGAACAACAACAACAACAUUCACCAAGAAAAACAAAAAUAACACUCCUUUCAACAACAACAAUGUCUACCACACGAUCUUACUUGUUCACGACAACAACAAUAAAUCUCAAACUUAGAUAUAGACUCAAGUGUUAGUGAAGAACAAACAUAACACUAGAAACACUCAAGAAAAACAAAAAUCUCAACUAAGAUAAAACAAGAAUGCAAUUCUCGGCCAAGAACACAACACGAACAGAUUGCACUUUUUCUGGAAUUUUAGUAUUUCAACAACUUUGUUUUCAACUACCAAGCCCAAGAUUGAUCUUAUGGAAACAAGAUCAAGCCAUUAUUUGAUAGUAUCACAGGAACACUAAACAAACACCAAAACAGUCCACAAGUUUGAAGAACCGAGGACCCCUUUGGUGACCACUCUCGAAUUCACUACAACAACAACGAAAACACAAUAACAACAAGAUAUUGAAGGUGUAAAUACACCAAAAUAGAAACAAUAUGGCGAUAUGGACAACAAUAAAAAUAUAGGAACAACACACGGUUUUACUAACAAGAUAUAGAAAUGGUUACAAGAACACAAACUACUACAAGAUUACAAUAAAAGUAAAGGGAUAGUUAGAUAGACUUAAUAAAGGUAAAAUCUUAAGAACCCAAUAGCAUAUUCCACUCUUGGACCUUUAACACUACACACAACGUUCACCUAUCUCUUACAAAGACAAAAGGUCAGAAUCCACCUCCCAAGCAUCACGUUUUCAAGCCAUGAGAGCAAUAAGAGUGAUUCCACACUCUAUAUGCCUAAUUUUGGUUUUGGUGCCUCAAGGAGAAAGGACUUGUGUUUAUUUGUGUUUCAAGACUUACGAUAUAAUGAAUAAUCUAAGUCUAGAAGCCCUACAAUGUUCAAUUUAUAAUAGGUUACAAAUAAAAUGCAAAAUAUCCAAAAUGCCCUUUUAAGAACUAGGCUCCCUUCAAGUGUUUUUAGGGGAUGCCUUGUUGUGUUCCAAGUCUCCUCUUUAAAAUCGUGAGAUUAGGGUUGGUUUGGUGUGUUUUAAGUCCUUCACUCGUACACUCCAAGCCCCGAGUUCAUUACAUUCUCACAUGCAUCCAUCUUCGUGGUCGUACUUGUAUCAGUCUACUGGGGGCCUUGUCCCAGUUUUCAAAGUAGUUUUGAGAUAUAGUAGAGAUUUUGCAGACUGAGUCAGAUCUUAUCCAGAUGUAUUGAAUUGCAGCUUUUAUUCUUAUAUCUUGAAUCUUAGAGUUAAUGACCAUGUUUCUGUAUCAGAUUGUAUUUCCGCAUCUUAUCUUAUUAUAUGAAUGAUGUGCAUGGCUACCAGAUAGAGUAGGGCAUUCGGGCCUUCAGGGUUCGGGAUGUCCACCAUGUACAGGCCCUAAUUCGGGUCGUGUCAUUAUCUAUCCCUAUAAAUCUUCUAUUCUAUCCCAUCACAUCUGCUCUACUAAAGUCACUAUUAUUCUCUUUAACUACUAAAUCAAAUCUAUGUAAAUACACUAAUAUACAAUAAUAUAUGGUUACAUUAAUAUAUACAAUAUUUACAUCAUGCUAACAUCCCCCUUCGAAUUGAUGCUGGUAGAUCAAGACGCAUCAAUUUGCCGACCAGAAACUGAUGUAGUUGUCGUUCCAUUGAUUUUGUAAAUGUAUUAGCUAUUUCAAGAUCACUAGACACAUGCAGAAGAGUAAUGAUACCUUUAUCUACAGCUUCUCGUAUAUAAUGAUAGUCUAUUUUAUUUUGAUGUGUUUGGUUCGCUCAAGAUAAAUCGGAUUAGUAGCAAUCUGAAUAGCACUUGUAUUAUCAUGGAUAGGAGUAGGAUUAGAUUGAGGAAAUCCAAUCUCAGCAAGUAAUCCACAAAGCCACACAAUCUCGGAGCAAGCAGUAGAUAUUGCUUGAUAUUCAGCCUCUGUUGAAGAUUUUGACACGGGGUCUUACUUCUUACUCUUCUAAGAUAUCAAAGACUCUCCAAGAAACAUGCACCAACUAGUAAAUGAAUGAUGAGUUUCAGAACAUCCCGCCCAAUCAGAAUCACUAAAAGCAUUAAGACGAAUAGGAGAACUACUACGAAAGAAUAAUCCAUGAUUAGAUGUUCCUCGGAGAUAUUGAAUGAUGCGAUAGACAACCACCAAAUAAAUAUUAUGGGGAGCUUGCAUGAACUGAGUAACUUGUUGAACUGGCAAAGAGAUAUCAGGUCUAGCAUAAUAGUAAGGUAAAUUAAUGUAACACCCCAUAUUUUGGGCUAGAACGAAAACCAUCAUUUCUAUGCGUUAGAUGAUCCAAAAUCAAUAAAUCCUAUGCAAAUUUUUCAUGUUAAUCAGUUAUGUAGUGUGGGAAUCUAUUUGAGCAUGAAUUGAGAUCAUAGACGUCCCAAAACUCAAGGACGAGUUAAAAGCUUUCCUAUCGUUCGAGUUUGAGUGAGAGUCAAAACUUGGGUCAACUUCAAUCCACCAUAACCCUUUGUAUAUAAUGAAUUACAGGGCCUACUAUAUAUCAAAUGAAAUCUCUUCGAAUUAUAUUUCCAACGAUACUAAUUUUACCAAAAUCUGAUACCCAAGCAAAAAGUUAAGGCCAUUUUCGUGACUGAGAUAGUAGCAUCGCACCAUUAGCGCAUGACGCACGCACCUAAUUUCUAAGUUUUUUUUUAACAUUUUUAAGGGAAAAAUUGUAUUUUCCACCCCCCCCCCCAUUCAGCCAUAACACGAGAUUAAAUCCCUCUAACACCAAAAUAAGGUUAUUUUCUCCCAAAAUCACCAAGAACACUCCUUAGAGUUUCAACCCAAAGAUGAAUAUAUCUCAAGAUUUAACCGUGGGUUUUUCUUAAUUCUUCAAGAUUUGGAAUCCCCAUUGCGAGGGCUAGAAGAAGCACCCCUAAAUCGUACGUAUAGCAUCCCAAAAGCUAGAGUUCAUUCAAAAGAUUCUAAUUUAAGGUACAUGGGGUGUAUCCUAAAACUACAUGGGUUUGUUGAAAACACUCAAUUAUGAUUUAAAGAUUAUCAAGCAUAAAUUUGUUAAAGGGGUUUUGAAAUCCAUGAUGUUAUUAAGCUUUAUACCUGUUUAAUGAUAUUGUUGUUUUGGCCUUUAGGCCUUAUCCCCUUAAAUUGAUUUACACAUAUAAGUAUAUGUAUGAAAAUCGAAAUUGAAGAUUUGUUUAAGAGUAUAAAUAAUGAAAUCCCUCUCUUGUGAUAAAUUAGAGUGUAUAAAUCUUAUUGCGAAUGACUUGAAAUGCAUGGAUUCUGGUUUGAAAUUAGUUUCCUCAAUGUUACAGUAUUUGAGCAUGAUUUAGAUAUGAUGAGAGGGAGUUCCUUGAUAUAAUAAUGUUUUUGAUUUGAAGAGAAAGAUUUGCAUGAGAUUGAGAACUUUGACAUGACCACCUUGUGCUAUUAAAAUGUUGAAAAAAAAGAUAAAGUUUCUUGCAUGUGUUUACAUGAAUUUAAAGGAAAGAAUUCUUUGAAUUUAUUUAUUGUUAUGGUGGUCCCAAACUGCAUGUUAUGAAAGAAGAGAUGAUAAUGUGCUAUAAAUAACUUUGAGAUGUCACUUGCAAGUCAAUGGUAUGACGAUACCAUAUAAAUGUAUGUCAUAAUAGAUUUAGAGUUUUCAGAGUUUGAUUUCAGAGAAUACAUAUUUUAAAGAGUUAAAAAUUAGGUUAAUGUAAGUUAGGUGGUUACCUGAAGAAAGCACGAGUCAAAUGACUCUAUGCUGGAAACCGUGAUUUGCCGACAUGGAAACUUGGUACCCUACUAUGUGAUCUUAUGUACCUAGUAUUUUGUCAUCCCAAAUUGGGACUUAUGGUUUGGAGCCCUGCUUUGUGAUCUUGAUCCCAACCAUGACAUAAUGACUUGAUUGGGAUUGUGGCACCCUAUUGUGUCAUCCUGUGUGCUCUUCCCUUACUAGUACUCCUAUCUUGGAGGAAACUGAAAUAAGGUAGUCGGUGAAAGCUAUAAAAUUGUAGGGUGUACCACCUAGCACAAAAGUAAAAUAAAGAGUAUGUCUCAGAGUUCAGAUGAUUAUUCAAAGUCUUUUAAAUAUGCCCAUGAAUUUUCUCAUCAUAUGUUAUGUUUAUGAACUGUUUUCAAACCUCUCUCACUUAUGUUAUAUAUAAAAUUGUUAUUUUGGAUUUUCUCUGUGUACCAGUACAAUUGUAUUGAGCCCCUACCUCCCAGGGUCUAAAGCUCAGUACAGAAGUCCUGCUAAGUCGUAGAGUUUUCAGACAAUAGUGAUAUGCACAGUUGGUGAUCCUUCUUUAUUCCAUAAGGUCUAUGUCUUUUAGAUUAUGUUAUUUAUUUUGGUUUAAGUACACUGGGGUCCUUGUCCCAGUUUUCAGAUAGUUGUUAUUUUCAGAUGUAGUAGAGAUUUUGCUAACUAGUUCAGACAUCGUCUAGUUGUUAUUGGGAUUUACUUUCUAUAUUAUAAAUUGAGUUCAGAUUCAUGACCAUGAUUCUGUUCAUUAUGUAUUUUCUGCAUUUUCUAUUUGUAUAUAAAUGGUGUAUAUGAUUACAAGUUAGGAGGUCUCUCGAGCCUUCAUGGUUCGAGAUGUCUGUCAUGGCUAGGGACUUGAUUCAGGUCGUAACAAACUUGAUAUCAGAGCACGGUUCAUGGUCCCAGGGUGUCUGUUAAAUUGUGUCGAGUAGAGUCUUGCUUAUGAGUGUGUAGCAUGCCACACUUAUAAGCAAGGGGAUACAAGGCAUUUAGGAAUGUCUCUCUGUCUUCAUGUUCUAGUUCGUGCAAUAGAGCCAGAAUGUUCCUCUUCAUACUCUAAUUCAUGAUAUGGUGUUGCUCAUCCAAAGGUAAUAAUCAUCCUAAUUCUUUCCUUACCUUGAUAUUUUUAGAUAUGUCUCAUUGUUGAGGUGAUUUAGGUGUAGAAGUCUAGAAUCUAAAUGGUAUGGUCCUUUCUGAUUGAGCCAUAUAAGAUUUUAAAAUUGUGCAAGGACUUGAGAAGAGUUUUUUAGUGCUUCAGAGUGUAUUGAUUCUAGUGUGAACUUCGAUUCUGAUGAGAUUGUGCCUUUCAACUUGCAGUAUUAAGUGUAUUCAGUCCUUUUCAAAAAAAAAUUAUGUUGCAGAUGUCAUGCCUAAAAAGGGGAAUGAUGUGCAGCAGAAUGUUGGAACUAUAUUUCCACCAGAAUAGUAGUAUGAGUUUAAGUGUUAUUGUCAUGACCUUUUGGUAGUGAUAUUGGACCAAGAAGUUAGUGAUGUGAAGUCACAAAGUUAGAAGUCAGAGUGAGGUUGACUUUUGUGUAAAUAAAUAUUUAGUUGAAUAACCGAUGUUUGAGGAUGAUUUACCCCUUUAUAGUGAUAGACUAAUGUGGUAGCUAGUAGCUUGUAUGGAUUGUAUGGUAGUCUGUAGGGGAAGUGUUUGACUCAAAUUUUUAUUUAUACAGAGUAAGAUGUGUAUUUUUAGAUCAUUGAUUAUUAUGUGUCAAGUUUCUAUCUCUUGUAAUCUUGCUAUCAUCGUGUUGUUGAAACUAAAAGUCUAGUGAAGCCGUGUGAGACCUAUUUCGAUUUACUAGCAACUUGUUGUUCAACUUGUUGUUCUUGUGUUGGUUUAAUAUAUGUAUAGCCUAAUCUUUUUGCAUGAGAUUGAGUUGGUAAGGAAGUGAUACAUCCUUGAGUGUUAGUUUAGUAGGAGGUAAAGAAGGAGUUAUUAUUCAAGGUGAAUUAUUGUUGGCUUGAAGUAUGAAAAUGGCUAGAUUAGCUAGUAGGUUAUAAUUAUAAACUCAUGGUGGUUAUGGAAUUUGAAGGUAGUCUAAAUGUACGCUUGGGUAAGUAAGUGUGAUGUGAGAAAGUCGUAUAAGUAGAUAAGAUUGUAUGGGGUUAUAAUAUAAGAUUAAGGUUGACCAUGUCUAUUAUGUGACUUUACCCGCCCCCCCCCCCCCCCGACUAGCUGUAAACUAGUACUAAUGAGAAGGCAUCUAGUAGAUUUUUUUUAGGUAUUUAGAUAGAAUGUCCCAAUUUAAUGGACUAGAAUAUUAUGUUGCAUUCUUCAGUGGUGGUAGAUGAUUGAUGCUAGACUCUAGGCUUGAAUUUAAUGUAGAAUGUGGAUGUAAGAAUAGUGGCUAAAGAUUAAUGAUGAAUGUUUUGUGAGAAUUGUGUGUUAGGUUGGGUUGUAAAUCAUGUUUAGCACUAGACAUUAAGUUUGAAAAGUUGAUGUCCAUGAAGGUGGAUGUGAUGAUUUCUUGGUUAAUGAUACUAGUUAUAUAAAAAUGAUCUAAUAGGCUUGAACGGUGUAUGCAAUGGAUUAAGCUUAUUUGAUUCGUAAUAAAGUAUGAUGUUGUAUGUAUGAUGUAUAAGUAUGCCCAAGGUGAUGUGGAGUUGCGGCAUUUUCUAAGACUAUUACAUGUUGUGUGUGGCUAGUAGUAUCGUUGAGUUGCUAGGUGGAGAAAGACUAGUUAGAUGGUAUAUGGUGUUCUAAAUAGCCAAGUUAAGGAGUUUUGAUUAAUAGUGUUGAGCCUUUUUAUAUGAUCUUAAUUCUCAUGGUAGAGAGAUAUAAGUUUGGAGUCAUGAUAUUGGUAGGCUAUGACGGAAGUAGUAUGGUUCAUCAAAGGCUUAGUGAUAUCCAUGUUAAGUGUUAGAAGCUAAGUUUGAGUUCUUGAAGGUUGAACUCAUAGAAAUAAGAGUUGAAGUGCUAGAGGGUGUGCACUCCGACUAUGGGGAUGCUCACGAGGAUUCGAAGUUAGUGUAUUGUCGUAUUCCAAACCCCAGAGUGCAGUGAGUGUAGUUGAGUUUAAAGUCUAGUAAGGGAUCUACCAGACUUGAAGAUGAUGGCUUAAAGCUAAGGGGGAGAUGAUAGAGUAAGUAACCAAGUCAGGCUCUCAGAUUCUAGUAGAAUUGCCAGUAUGAUAUAGAACAUCAAAAAGUGAGGGUGAGGCUCAACCCAUUCCUAUCUUAGUAUUUUUUUUUAGCUAUCCCAAUUCUUACUCAUGCUUUACAUUUCAGUUCCAUGAUCAUAGUUCAUGUUCAAGUAUAUGAUAGAGAAUCAUGUGCUCUUCUAAUUCCUAAAUGAGGAAUUCUAGUUCAUUCAGUAGUCGGGAUCACAUUCCAUAAGUUAUGAACUCCAAAUUGAGGUCAUGCAUCUCAUGACUCAUGUACUCAUGCUUUAUAGUGUGCUCAGUUCCCAUAACUCAUGCUACACGCCAAAUGAUUAGCGAGAUUCAGCUUAUAGAGAGGUAUACUCUCAAUUCAGAUCACUUUAAUGAAUCCCUGAUGUUGAUUCGUUGUUCCUCCGGCCUCAGUUAAGUGUCAAGCCUCGUAUAAUAUCCUUCCAUGCUUUAAUAUCUUAUGUUCUAACCUUUUAGUGACUCCUCCUUAUGUGAUGAUAAUGGUGAUGAGUAAAUGUUUCUUGUUGAUGGAAGAUCAUAGUAUGCUUGUUCUAGAUAAGGCCAUAAGUGAGAAGUAAGAUCUGGGGCCAAGUCUUUGACAUAUGUGAUGGUUAGUGGAAAUUUGUGUGCGUAUGUUGUUGGGGUAGCACGUGGGAGUUAUAUUGAUAGUGGUUUAGAUAAAAUAUGAAGUAUGUCUUUAUGGGUGGUUGCCUUAAAGUUCAUAUGCGGUUGUAAAGAUAGGCUUGAAUGACAUGUUAGGAUUUAGGUGGAGGAACGCAAUAUGUGCUAGUGAAUCCAUAGUAAAAGUUCAGAGCUAGUCAUUGAAGUGGAAAGUCACGUUAUUCUUAGGGUGUGAACUUUAUAAAGAUAUAAAAGGUUGAAUCAUAUGGUUUAGAGUAGUAUCAAGGAGUGGCAUGUUAUAUUUUGUGAUGUAGAGUUAGGCUUGAUCACGAUGAAAGGAUUUAAGCUACUUUAGACAUUAGUAGAAAGAUUUAUCAAUGCCUAUAUGAGGAUUAAAAUUUGAAUCAAAUGAGAAUGGUAUUUAAGGAGAAUAGUAUAGUUAAGGGAUAUUCGAGAAGUGUGCUAAGCUUGAAAGCAAGAAGUUGUAUUGCCUAAGGCCUGGUAAUUCUAUCCUAGUUUAUGAGUUAUAUAUCUAUAUUCCAUGCUAUAGAGUAGUGUCAUUGUUGUGAUUCCUUUGUUGGAUGUCUUGUGUAACUCGUGCCCAAGAUUAUUUACCCCCUAAUGCUACUAGAACUUCUUUAGAAAGAGUGUUGAAGAGAUUCUCCAGUUAAGUACAAGGGUUCAGCAUAAUUCAGUCUAAAUAGCCAGUAAUUCAGUUUUGCAACCAGGCAGACAAGUUAUGGUGGUUUUCCACCUUUUCACCUAGUCCUACUAUCCAAAGUCUCGAGCGUAUAACUGUAAUACCCCGUAUUUCGGGCUAGAACGAAAACAAUCAUUUCUAUGCGUAGAUGAUCCAAAAGCCAUAAAUCCUAUGCAAAUUUGGAUUUUAAUCAAUUACAUAGUGUGGAAACCUAUUUGAGCAUGAAUUGAGAUCAUAAAGGUCCCCUAACUCAAGGACGAGUUGAAAGUUUUCCUAUCGUUCGAGUUUGAGUGAGCGUCGAAACUUGGAUCAACUUCAAUCAACCAUAACUCUUUGUAUAUAACGAAUUAGAGGGCCUACUAUAUAUCAAAUGAAAGCUCUACAAAUUAUCUUUCCAAUAAUACUAAUUUCACAAAAAUCCGAUACCAGAGCAAAACUUUAUGACCAUUUUUAUGACUGAGAUAGUAGAAUCGCGCGAUUAGCGUGCGACGCAUGUUCUGUCACCGCACCCAAUUUUCAGGUCCAGUUUUUGCAUUUUUAAGGGCAAAUAUGGUAUUUUCCACCCCCUAUUCAGCCAUAACACGGAAUUAAAUCCUUCAAACACCAAAAUAAGGUCAUUCUCUCUCAAAAUCACCAAGAAUACUUCUUAGGGUUUCAACCCAAAGAUCAAAAUAUCUUAAGAUUUCACCGUGGGUUUUCAAUAAUUCUUCGAGAUUUGGAAUCCCCAUUGCAAGGGCUACAAGAAGCAUCCAUCAAUUGUUCGAAUAGCAUGCCUAAAGCACAAGUUCAUUCAAGAGUCAUAAAUUAAGGUACAUGGGGUUUUCCUUAAAUUUUUUGGGCAAAGAAACCAUCUUUAUUUCAUGCUAACAGGUUAGAAAUCAUGAUUUUUAAGAAAGGAGUUUUGAAUUUACAAUUACUAGCAUGUUUUAGAAGCCUUGAUCAGUAUUGUGUUGGUAUUUAGGCCUUCCCCCAAAUUGAUUUGAAACUCUAUAUAUAUGUAUGCAUGUGUUUAAGGAUAAAUAUACAAUUAAGAGCAUGAAUCCUAAAGAAUCCCUCUCUUAUUAUGAUUUUUUCCAUCUUUUAUAUGAUUGAAUUGUGUUUGAAAUGUCUUGAUUAUUGCUAUGACUUGAAUGUGAUUUUGAAUCCAAAAGAGAGGGUUGUGCAUAUUGAUAAACGUUGAAUACACUUUUAAUGAAAGAAUUGCAUGUUUGCCAAAAAUACAUGACCACCACAUGGUUAUUGAAAGAAUGAGAAUCUUAGCAUGGUUUUGACUUGUGCUUUCAGAACAUGAAAUUUCCUAUACUAUUUGCAUUCUUGGGUGGUUUGAAUUAUGUUUUAAUGAAAGAAUCAUGCAUGGUACAAUAUGGCUCAGAAAUAGGACAUGCAAGUCUUGGUGUGACGACACCAACUUGGUUAAAGCCAUAGUAAUUCAGAACAGAAUAGAACACGUGUUUGAAAUCAGAUUUAUAGAUUAUGGAUUCAAAAAUAUGCAUGUUUAGAAAAGGUUUAAAAAUGGGCUUAAAGAGAGUUAGAUGGUUACCUGAAGAAAGUAUAAGUUGAAAGACUCUAUGCUAGAAAUCGUGAUUUGCCGAUACGAAAUUAUGGUACCAUGCUUGGUGAUCUUGUGUACCUUGAUUCAUGUCAUCCCAAAUUGGGACUAUAGUUAGGAGCCCUGCUUUGUGAUCUUGUGCACUACCAUGACAUGUUGAUUUGAUUGGGGAUUUUGGCACCCUGUUGUGUGAUCUUACGUGUCCUCCUUAUAGAUGCUCCAAUCCAUGCGGUAAACUUGGAUUGGGGGCUUGGCCGCCUAGUCAAGGGAAGAUUCCAUAUAGCCCCUGGAAUUACAGAUUAUAGGGUAUAUCAUCUAACUCAGAAGUAAGACAAAGAGUGAGUCAUGGUUUCAAAUAAAUGAUUCAAAGUCUUUAAAAUGUGCCUAUAUGUUUUCAUAUAUUAUAUGUAAAAUGUUUUAUGAAUUGGUCUCACUUAUGCUAUAUAUAAAUACAUUAUUUUGGAUUGUUGUGCAUACCAAUACAUCUGUAUUAACCUCUCUCGCUUCCAGGUUCUAAGGCUCAAUCUAGGGGUCCCAAUAAGCAGUAGAUUUUCUCCAGACAGAAAUGUAGAGUUCCGUGGUGAGCCUUCUAUAUUUCAAAAGGCC
Molecule: long non-coding RNA, 23996 nt
Filed under: Capsicum annuum
Lineage: Eukaryota; Viridiplantae; Streptophyta; Magnoliopsida; Solanales; Solanaceae
Description: long non-coding RNA (CANN_LNC018346)
Source: RNAcentral